GCACGAGAAGUGGAGCAAUCCAUGAGUAAAGUGGCGUACGGGUGAGUAACACGUGGAUCAUCUACCUUCUAGUGGGGAAUACCCCUGGGAAACCGGGGACAAUACCGCAUAAGCUCGUAAGAGGAAAGCAGCAAUGCGCUGGAAGAGGAGUCCGCGGCUGAUUAGCUAGUUGGCGGGGUAACGGCCCACCAAGGCGAAGAUCGGUAGCCGGCCUGAGAGGGCACACGGCCACACUGGCACUGAAACACGGGCCAGACUCCUACGGGAGGCAGCAGUGGGGAAUCUUGCACAAUGGAGGAAACUCUGAUGCAGCGACGCCGCGUGAGCGAUGAAGCCCUUCGGGGUGUAAAGCUCUUUCGACGGGAACGAUAAUGACGGUACCCGAAGAAGAAGCUGCGGCUAACUACGUGCCAGCAGCCGCGGUAAUACGUAGGCAGCAAGCGUUGUUCGGAAUUACUGGGCGUAAAGAGUGCGUAGGCGGUGCUCUAAGUCUGUUGUGAAAUCUCCCGGCUCAACUGGGAGGGUGCGGCGGAAACUGGAGUGCUCGAGUGUGGGAGAGGUAAGCGGAAUUCCUGGUGUAGCGGUGAAAUGCGUAGAUAUCAGGAGGAACACCUGUGGUGUAGACAGCUUACUGGACCACGACUGACGCUGAGGCACGAAAGCGUGGGUAGCAAACAGGAUUAGAUACCCUGGUAGUCCACGCUCCUAACGAUGCAUACUUGGUGUGAGCGAUUCAUUUCGUUCGUGCC
RNAcentral lists this ribosomal RNA (749 nucleotides) under uncultured bacterium. RNAcentral describes it as "bacterial SSU rRNA". It matches the Rfam family "Bacterial small subunit ribosomal RNA", at positions 64 to 847 of the family's 1533-position model. The record is from RNAcentral.